GUAGGUGAACCUGCGGAAGGAUCAUUCAUAAUAAGUGUUUAUGGCACUUCUUAAAUCCAUAUCCACCUUGUGUGCAAUGUCAGCCGUUUUCUUUAUGAAAGCGGCCAAACAUCAACUUAUUUUUUAACUGUCUGUCUGAAAACUAUUAUGAAUAAACAAUUCAAAUACAACUUUCAACAACGGAUCUCUUGGCUCUC
Molecule: unclassified non-coding RNA, 197 nt
Filed under: rhizosphere metagenome
Description: partial ribosomal RNA internal transcribed spacer region
Source: RNAcentral